Molecule: long non-coding RNA, 1107 nt
Filed under: Equus caballus (horse)
Lineage: Eukaryota; Metazoa; Chordata; Mammalia; Perissodactyla; Equidae
Description: lncRNA (ENSECAG00000058839.1)
Source: RNAcentral
CGAAGACUAAAUUGGGACGCUUGUGCUCAAUUCUGGCUCCCUGCCUUAGUUCUGACUUUGGAUAGGUUAUGGCUUCUGAAACUUGGCUUUGUUCAUUUUCAGUACGAGAUUGUUACCACACUGUCCACCUCCAAAGCUUGUUCUGGGCUAGGACGAUGAAACUGUUGGCAUGAUGGCUGUGCUUCAGAACUGAUGCAGGAACAGAGACCUAUGGAGCUGAUUGACUCACCCAAAGCCCUGGAGCUAGUAAUUCAUGAAGGUGGUACUCAAAUCUUGCAUUCCGACUCUUGGACCAGGAAAUUUCUCUCCACACCCUACUGCUUCUGAAGAUUAAUUUGCAGUUAUAUGAAGACAUUUCUCUUCAGCCAUAUGACAUCAUGGGAAAAAUCUGGUCAGAGGAACCACGUUUGAGAAGAUCUUGCCCAAGUCCCUUGAAGAUGAUCAGAGCCUAAUUUUCCAAUCUGUAAAUUGGGGAUCAAAACCACCUUCCUCACAAGGUACUGUAAGAAUUAACUGGAGAGAUGGGAAAGUCGUAUGUAAACCCUAAUGGAUUAUAGAACUGUUCUCUUUCAUUCGAUAGAACACUGUAAUUUCAGAAAUUCUUUCUUUGGAUGCUUCCCCCUUCCCAAACACCUGGGGCUCAACCUUCUUACCCCUUGCUCCGUGGAGCAGUGAUGAUAAGUAGAAUCCUCACUCCCCUCCCAAUACAAUUGGCUGGCGUGGCCUGCCCUGAGGCUAAAGGCUUCUUCAGUAUUUUGACUUUUUCCAAGGGCUCUCAAAGAGGAUACACUUUAUGGUCAUUAGAAAGGAAUAUUUCACCUUAGAUAGCAGUUCAAACUUCCCACUUUGAACCCCUAAGUGAAUCUAUACAACUUAGAUUUAUUAACAAACCUUUUGUUAUUGUUGAGAAUUUUAAAAAGAAAUUCAUUUUUCUUAAGUCAUUAUUUGGAUUUGCUCAGUAUUUGUUUAUUGGACUUAUGUGGGAGUGGUAACCAGAGCAAUGUAAGAGGAAAAGUACUAGAAUAGAAUUCAUAAAGAUGAGGAUCUUCAGCCUGGCUCUUUCUCUUUCCAUCUGUGUAAUUUUGAGCAAAUGUCUUGACCUCUCUG